RNAcentral lists this ribosomal RNA (475 nucleotides) under uncultured bacterium. RNAcentral describes it as "bacterial SSU rRNA". It matches the Rfam family "Bacterial small subunit ribosomal RNA", at positions 335 to 799 of the family's 1533-position model. The record is from RNAcentral.
ACUCCUACGGGAGGCAGCAGUGGGGAAUAUUGCACAAUGGGCGCAAGCCUGAUGCAGCCAUGCCGCGUGUAUGAAGAAGGCCUUCGGGUUGUAAAGUACUUUCAGCAGUGAGGAAGGCGGAGUCGUUAAUAGCGGCCUCGUUUGACGUUAGCUGCAGAAGAAGCACCGGCUAACUCCGUGCCAGCAGCCGCGGUAAUACGGAGGGUGCGAGCGUUAAUCGGAAUUACUGGGCGUAAAAGCGCAUGCAGGUGGUUCGUUAAGUCAGAUGUGAAAGCCCGGGGCUCAACCUCGGAAUUGCAUUUGAAACUGGCAGACUAGAGUACUGUAGAGGGGGGUAGAAUUUCAGGUGUAGCGGUGAAAUGCGUAGAGAUCUGAAGGAAUACCGGUGGCGAAGGCGGCCCCCUGGACAGAUACUGACACUCAGAUGCGAAAAGCGUGGGGAGCAAACAGGAUUAGAUACCCUGGUAGCACAGAG